Molecule: unclassified non-coding RNA, 253 nt
Filed under: uncultured Caryophanales bacterium
Lineage: Bacteria; Bacillati; Bacillota; Bacilli; Caryophanales
Description: uncultured Bacillales bacterium contains 16S-23S intergenic spacer region
Rfam family: Bacterial small subunit ribosomal RNA
Source: RNAcentral
UACGUAGGUGGCAAGCGUUGUCCGGAAUUAUUGGGCGUAAAGCGCGCGCAGGCGGCCUAUUAAGGUGGAUGUGAAAUCCCCCGGCUCAACCUGGGAGGGCCAUUGGAAACUGGGAGGCUUGAGUAUAGGAGAGAAGAGUGGAAUUCCACGUGUAGCGGUGAAAUGCGUAGAGACGUGGAGGAACACCAGUGGCGAAGGCGACUCUUUGGCCUAUAACUGACGCUGAGGCGCGAAAGGGUGGGGAGCAAACAGG